UGAUCCUGGCUCAGAACGAACGCUGGCGGCAGGCUUAACACAUGCAAGUCGAGCGCUCACUUCGGUGGGAGCGGCAGACGGGUGAGUAACGCGUGGGAAUCUACCUAGCUCUACGGAAUAGCUUCGGGAAACUGGAAUUAAUACCGUAUACGCCCUCCGGGGGAAAGAUUUAUCGGAGUUAGAUGAGCCCGCGUUAGAUUAGCUAGUUGGUGGGGUAAUGGCCUACCAAGGCGACGAUCUAUAGCUGGUCUGAGAGGAUGAUCAGCCACACUGGGACUGAGACACGGCCCAGACUCCUACGGGAGGCAGCAGUGGGGAAUAUUGGACAAUGGGCGAAAGCCUGAUCCAGCCAUGCCGCGUGUGUGAUGAAGGCCUUAGGGUUGUAAAGCAUUUUCAACGGGGAAGAUAAUGACGGUACCCGUAGAAGAAGCCCCGGCUAACUUCGUGCCAGCAGCCGCGGUAAUACGAAGGGGGCUAGCGUUGUUCGGAAUUACUGGGCGUAAAGCGCGCGUAGGCGGAUUGAUCAGUUAGGGGUGAAAUCCCAAGGCUCAACCUUGGAACUGCCUCUAAUACUGUCAAUCUAGAGUUCUAGAGAGGUGAGUGGAAUUCCGAGUGUAGAGGUGAAAUUCGUAGAUAUUCGGAGGAACACCAGUGGCGAAGGCGGCUCACUGGCUAGAUACUGACGCUGAGGUGCGAAAGUGUGGGGAGCAAACAGGAUUAGAUACCCUGGUAGU
Molecule: ribosomal RNA, 734 nt
Filed under: uncultured marine bacterium
Lineage: Bacteria
Description: bacterial SSU rRNA
Rfam family: Bacterial small subunit ribosomal RNA
Source: RNAcentral